Molecule: ribosomal RNA, 434 nt
Filed under: uncultured archaeon
Lineage: Archaea
Description: bacterial SSU rRNA
Rfam family: Archaeal small subunit ribosomal RNA
Source: RNAcentral
GGACCUGACUGCUAUCGGAUUGAUACUAAGCCAUGCGAGUCAUUGUAGUAAUACAAGGCAGACGGCUCAGUAACGCGUAGUCAACCUACCCUAUGGACGGGGAUAACCUCGGGAAACUGAGAAUAAUACCCGAUAGAACAUUAUGCCUGGAAUGGUUUAUGUUUCAAAUAAUUUAUUGCCGCAGGAUGGGACUGCGGCCUAUCAGUUUGUUGGUGAGGUAAUGGCCCACCAAGACUAUUACAGGUACGGGCUCUGAGAGGAGUAGCCCGGAGAUGGGUACUGAGACACGGACCCAGGCCCUAUGGGGCGCAGCAGGCGAGAAAACUUUGCAAUGUGCGAAAGCACGACAAGGUUAAUCCGAGUGGUUUCUGCUAAAGGAACCUUUUGUCAGUCCUAGAAACACUGAUGAAUAAGGGGUGGGCAAGCUCUGGUGU